Non-coding RNA from Odocoileus virginianus texanus, 8925 nucleotides. Lineage: Eukaryota; Metazoa; Chordata; Mammalia; Artiodactyla; Cervidae. The record is from RefSeq and is a predicted model, not a curated record.
GCACACAUGCAUACAUGCACAUAUAAUACAUUCAUACAUAUACAUACAUCCAUAUAUAAGGAGUUGGAAACUUUUGCUGUAUGCUUGAAACUAACAUAAAUCAACUAUACUUCAAUUACAGAAAAAGGAAGGGUGCUCUGAGAAGGAUCUGACCAAGAGUAGUUUCAAAGAAUUCCACAAACCUCUGGUUUGAGACUAGAAGGUUUGCAAGAAAAACUUUCAUUUACGAAAGGUUACUUAUUCCCCACCCAAAGAAUAUUUUGAUUUCUGUUAAAUAAUCACCAGGACAAAUAGGAUUGAAAUGUAACCGGAGAAAAUUCCUUGUUUAAUGUGUGUCUUUUUUUCAGGCCUCUUUUUCGUGGAAGUUCAGAUGUCGACCAACUAGGAAAAAUCUUGGACGUAAUUGGACUCCCGGGAGAAGAGGACUGGCCUAGAGAUGUUGCCCUACCCAGGCAGGCUUUUCACUCAAAAUCUCCUCAACCAAUUGAGAAGUUUGUAACAGACAUUGAUGAACAAGGCAAAGACCUACUUCUGAAGUGCUUGACAUUUAAUCCAGCCAAAAGAAUAUCAGCAUACAGUGCCCUGUCUCACCCCUACUUCCACGAUCUGGAGAGGUGCAAGGAAAAGCUGGAUUCCCACCUGCCGCCCAGCCAGAACAGCUCGGAAAUGAAUACCGCCUAACCUGCCUUGAGCUGAUCAUCCGGAGGACCUCCUUGGUGGCUGAGGGGUCCCCCGAGGAAGCCUUGCAGAGCUGUCGAGGAUCGCUGGCUGGAGACCUCCUAGCUGCUGUCUUCCGGAUGGGCUCUGCUUCUCCGAGGGAACCACCUCGUUUACUGUUUUGAAUCAAUGCAAGAGUGAUUGCAGCUUUAUGUCCAUUCAUUUGUUUGUGUGUCUGUUUGUUUCAAGAACCUGGAAGAAUUCCAGAAGAGAAGCUGCUGAUCCGUUGUGCUGCCGUUUCAUUUUUUCUGAUCUUGAAUGCUGCCCGUGUGACGUGAGCAACCCGGGCACAGCUGAGUGAGAUCGCACGUGUAAUCUCUCUGUAGCUGCUGGGGCCUGCUUUGGUACUUCUGAGUGAGUGUGUGUGCAUGCGUGUGUAUGUGUGAUUCUUGAUCUCUUAAAAAGUGUUACUUUCUAUAAGCAAGAGGGAGAAUUGAAUCUUAAAGUCUCAAAGUGACCGCUAAAUAACAGGUGUCUGUUGACUAUAGCAGAUCCACUAAAAUGGACUUCUCAAAUUAGAAAAUUGAGCCUAUGUCCUUAGCAUUUCUUUUCUGGUCAAAAGCAGUCAAUUCACUAAUAGUAAAGGGUUCACCAUCUAGGUGAAGUUUUAUACACACAGCAAAAAGAAAACAUAAUUCUAGUAUCUUUUAAGAAACCUGUUUCUGAAAGCAAAUGUGCUAUUUACUCUUCAAAAAGCUGCAUUUACUCCUUGUCAUUUUAUCCUGUAUAGUAUGCUUGAUUGUUUCUUUUAAAGAAUACCCUUAUAAGCUUGCUAUAGAUUUAGGGAGUGUACCUCAGCAAGGUAAAAUUGUCAAAAAAAAAAAAAUAGAGAAAGCCUUUAUUUCCUGGUUUGGAGUUUAUUUCUUUUUUGGUUUUUGUUGUUACUUUGUUUUGGUUUUGAUUUUAGGAAUUUUCAGGAACUGUUUCCUUUUUGAGUUGGGAGGAUAGUUCUCUCUGACCAGAGGCAGGAAUGCCGUGUUAAGUUUGCCUCCGCCUUUUACAUUGUACUUCUUCUGCAGUGCACUGCUGAAUGCAUAGUGUACAUCUUUAUCUGUCCCCCAGCGUGUCUAAUGUACUUCACUAGCCUUACACAGUUAAUGACAGAUUGCUUAGGCUGUUCUCAUGCAUCUCCUCCUUUCUUUCCUCCAGUGAACCUUUCUUCAAUAGUUUGAUUCAGAUGAUGGCUUAUGGCUCCAAUUCCACAACCCUAACAGAAUCCCAUGUGUUCUCCCGCUACUACAAGCUUCCUGGCAUUUACUGUUGUUACCUAGGCAGUGAGCAGAAGACUGGCUCUUCAUCACUGAGAUGUAGGUUGCUUUAAAGUGUUACUUAGUGUUUUGCAUUUUUAUAGACUAUAUUGUCAGUGUAGUAUCUGAGGGAACGUCCUGAACUAUUUUUUAGGGAUGUAUAUUUACUCUGUAAAAUUACCUGUUCUCCAUCCACCAGGCUGUGCUCACUUCUAGCGCCUUACACACGUUCCCCACCCCCUGCAGAGCCAGCCUGACCUGGGCAUUGUGAACAGCUUUACCUUUCCUCUUGCCAUUUUUCUCCACAGUACUAUAUAUUCCAUGCCAUCUCUGCCGUCUACGUAGUUAGUGCUCAGUCAGCUCUAGUAACCAGAAGACACAGAGAUGAAGUAUCCUUUGGUAAGUUUUAGCUCCCUUGGCUUUCCAAUUCAUGUUUCGCGUGUGUGAAACAGUUAGAUCGUGUUUAGCAUUAGGGGCUUCAAAGAAUGGACGUUGCUUCCCUCAGAAGAAAAUGUUCUAUAUGAUGUUUAUGCAUAAUCAGGCCUUUCUUAGUUCUCCAGAACUUCAUAGUGUAUAUGACUAUCUUGAACAAGAGAAAAAUUAGGAGACUUUUCUCUUUGAGAGCUUUCUGGGUCAGGACCCAUUCUUUUCUAAUAUCUAUAUAUUGUUUAAUAUUGUUCUAAUUCAAUAACUUUAAGAGAAGGAAAAUUUUGCUAAAUCUAGCUAUGAAUGAGAAGAUGGGCCAUGAGAAUUUUUUUACAGUCUUCCUUGUGACAGCAUCGAGAUUAUGUUUUGUCAUCACUGUAAAUGCUUGAGAUAUAAUGGACCCAGAAUAUUCGAGGCAAAUGUACUUGUGGUCUACCCAGAUAAGUGGGGGGCGGGGGAGGGGGGGACACCGAUAAAUGAGUUCUGCCUUUCCUUUGAUCGGGGGUCAAAAUAAUAAAGACCAGGGGCCUGGAAAUUGAAUUUUAAAACACUGCACUGAUCCAUCAGGAGCUUUGCAAUGAGUAUCCAUGGUUAGACUGAACAUAACUUGGGUUUUGGCUUUUGCAAAAAUUUUUCGUAAGUUCACUCAAGAAAAAUGCAGCUGUUCUAAACUGGAAUUUUUCAGCAUUCUUUAGCAUUUUAAACAUGUAGAAAGUCCAACUUUUAUUUCCAACAUAUGCUCCUGAUUCAUUUAUUGGUGGUGUUUGUAAAGAAAACUUCAAGCAUGAACAUUUAGAUACUUGCCAAAUUACCCUGUGAAAGGCAGAACUGUGAACUCGUUAGAGUCUGUCCCCAGCUCCUCCAUCCUGGCGGUUGUUGCACUUGAGUGAUUACUUUUUAUUUUAUGUCUUUCACAUCCGGCUCACCACUUCUGAGGCCCAGAUCCCACACAUGCACCUUUGCCAUUAGGACACUCUGAAUCAUAGAGCAGAAGACAAGCUUACUGAAUGCGGCUUAUUCUUCUGUGACAUAUGGUUUCAGACAGCUUUGCCAAAAGCUAGGCAGUGAUUAGCUGAAAAGGUCAUAUCGCCCCAGGGUUACACUGAAGCAGCUUAUAGCUCUAAGAAACAGGAUGACAGACUUGAAAUCACAUUUGCAUUUCUUACUAGGAUGGGGACAAGAAUGUUUGCCCGAUCGUUUCUGUGUAUUUCGAUCUAGCGGCCCAAGCGUUGGGAACUGCUGUGCCAGGGUGGACUUGUAACAGCCUACAUGUGAAGAGUCCAUUUAGGCAUCAUAAGCUCUCACCUGGCAAAGGUAAUAAGGCUGGAACCUUAUAAUCUUAAAAACACAAUCCCCAAGAGCUUGUCAGAACCCGGUGCACCGGGGCCUCCCACUUGGCCUUCCCCUUUGAAGUGGAUGGGAACUCAAGGAGCGGAGAACCUGUUUCGGAAGAAAGCUCCGGGCCAUUUUAGCCCCCUGUGUUCUCAUGGUUUUCUCUCGGGAAACACACAUUUUGAAUGACUGAUUUUUCACUUAGCCUCAGGUGACAUACUAAAAAUAGUUCAAAAUAUUCACCUGAUUCUCAGCCUCUUCGUUUUGGGUAAAAAUGAAAAUUUCAGAAUGCAUGGGAUGUUACUAUCUUAAAUAAAACAUGGACCUUUUAAUAGAGAAAUUUAUGAUAUGACUCCAGAAUGUGAUACUGUCCAUCCUGGUGAGAAAAAAACUUAAAUAUGACCAAACUUUUGAGUCUUAAAUAAUGGAUUUAAAUUGAGUUUUUAACUAACUAUAGCUACUUCUCUUAAACAGGGGUACCCAUAAAAGUCACUAAUGACAAUUAUUUCUUAAUAGAAAUUAAAUCAUGUAUGCUUCCUAAUAUCAUAAACAUACUAAAAUUCUUCUCUAAAGAAUUGCUUCUCUUUUUAAGUGACUUUACUGUAAUUUUUAUAAGCACAUGAGAGUGUCUCAUUUUCCAAAAACAGGCCAAUGUUGCAUAGGUGGGUCUAGGAAAGAAUGUUGAAAGUUAAUAAGCCACUAUAGUUACUUAAUUGUGUUAGUACAAUUUCUUGGAAUGGAAAUAAUUGAAUAUUAUGUAUUCCAGAUAUUGAUAGAAUUCAAAAGAAUGCUUAAAGACAUAAAAUAGUAUCUUUAUAAAAAUUAAAAUGUUAUUAUUUCUAAAUUUUUUAAAAACCAGAAGAUACUAGGCAGUGGCUAGAGGAAAUUCUGGAGAAAAUGAAGGUAUUCAAAGAAGGAUAGUUUCGAAGUUAUGUAUACUUUAUUUAAAGUCACCUGGCAACUAUGAACGUGAUAUGGUCAAAAACAAAUUUUAUGGAAAAGCCAUUCCAAACAGUUAUCGUUUCAAAGGUUGAGCUAAAGCGAGUUAAACCACCCCUAUUCCUUCCACAUUUCAUGGGAAGACACAGCCAUGUGAAGCUACUCUUGUUGUGCAAGCCUUAAAAUGUUCAUUGUUAAAAACUAAGUAAAUUUUUUAAAGGUAUGUGUUUCCUAUGCCACCAAGAUUUUUGAAAACUUGUGGAACCUAAACCAUUUAUCAUGUGCAUUCAGUACAUACAGACACAUGAUGAGGAAGAUUAAUUACAUGUUCCUUCCCCACAGUGGAAAAACUUCAGGCUCCCAUAAACCUGCCAAGCAAUAUUAAGUCCCCAGAUAACUAGCAGUGGUGUUUUCCUCAAAGGCAUAAGCAGAUAGAAUUUUCACUUUUUUCUGCAUGCAAUUUUCAACCUGGUUUUAUUACACAACUAUAUCUCAAGCAUUUCUAGUUUGUCCUUUUUCAGAAAAUAAACCAAAAAUAUUCCUUUGGCCUUAUCCAUCUUCUGACCUUUGUUAACAACAAAAAAUGGAGAAAGAGGAGGGGUCUGAUUUUUAAAUGUUUUCCUCAGUUAGUUUUUGUUUUUUAAAUGAAGUGCAAGUCAGCUUUUCAAAUGUUUUCUAUUUCUUAGCAUUCCCUGAGAGUUAAUUUAGAUAAAAGAAUGGACGUCCAUCAACAUAUUUAUGUUUUCUUAAUAACUGGUGCUCUGGCCUUCGAGAAUAUAACAAGACUCUCCUGAAAAUAAACACAGUUUUUUCCCAACCAUCUAGUUAAAUACUAGUACAGCAAUUUUAAGUCAAUAUGUUAAGAAGGCGAAGUGGUUUUUCUUUCACAUGUCUGUUUUAAAAUUCACAUUGUCCUAAGGGAUGGCCUUUCUUGUUUUAUUCUAGUAUAUUCCACAAGGUGGCACUUUGAAGGGGGGUAUGGAAUCUGAGCUAUGCCUCUAACUUUAUUUUUCUGCAUACAUUUAACUUUUGCCUAGCACCUGUUUUUCAGGAUGAUUCAUAGUCCUCACAAUGUUCUGUAACUUAGAUAUUUUAGCUAUUAGCUAAGUUCUGAACAGUUGUCUACAAGUAAAUUGUUCUUGAGGAUGCAUAAUACACCCAUUUUGAUUAUUUAAGUGCAUGAAGAGAGCCUAGUUGUUCAUUUGUUCAUGAAACAUCUUUUGAGGUAUCUAGUUACCUCACUUUUCCAGGUCCAGAAGUUAGAAAGUUGGACAGGCUUAUUACUCAAUAGGCAAUACUCAUCUGUGAACAGGAUAGUGUUGUUAGGAGUGUAAGAUUCCUCCAGGGGCCUCAGGCACAAUAUGUAUAUCCCAUGUCAGCUGCUUUCCCAUCGCCUACUGUGGUAGCCGUUAACACAAUCCAGUUUAAAAAUCCUAACUAAAAAAAUCAGAUGCAGACACUAAGUGACACAGCAGCUACUAAAUAGACCAAACUACUUUUGCAAAAAUCUGCUAUGCUGAAACAGAGCCCUAAAAUACUAAAAGACCUGCAAAUUUGUAUAGUCACAAGUAUAAAUUCACAAGAUACUCUUAAUUUUUUUAAAUUUUCUUUAAGCCUAUGAGCUAAUAACUUAGGAGUAUAUCUACAUUAAGUGAUAUCUCCAUUUGUGAAGCAACUUCAUGUUAUAAAAAUAUAUAUGUUUUCAUAGACUUUUGUUUUAAUUCACAGAUCUGCUCAGACACCAUUAUCCACCUGAUGAUUUUAGUCAGUUUGAGAAGUCAUUUUCUUCCGUAGUGUCACUGAACUUUAGAAGGAAGGAAAUCAUGUUAUUUUCCCAGCCUUCCCUCAGCACAAGCCAGCGCAAGGCCGUUUAUUCCUUCUGAGCGGCGGAAACUCCGUAGUCCCUGCUUCACUUUUCUCCGGAGUAGCCAGUUGGCUAAUCUCGGUAAUUAUACUAAAUCAAAAUACCGCACACACUGGGGACUGUCAAAUCUUCGGCCUGUCCCUCUUCUUAAAAUCCCAUUGAAGAAGAUUCCAGUUUAAGCCCCUCAGUGGAAGGCCGAAUUCAAACCUCCAGUCUGUCAUCAUUUGGGCCAGUCUGAACCCUAUUUACUCGUGCUCAAAGCCUCCCUCCCACCGAAGAAGCCUGCCGAGCGCUGCGCCGUCGCCCCGCCCCUUUGGCCGUAGAGGGUCAGUGGGCGGGGCUGACUGAGACCCGCCCACCGCUCACCUGUUCGUGCCUGAUAUUGAUUACAGACCCGGCGCAUUACUGUCCGAGGUCCGUGUUGCCCUGCUGCUGUCUCAGAGGCAUCUGUUUUGCAGUCUUAGGAAGUAAAAUGUCCCUAGAGGCAAACGAUGUCUUCUGUGCAUAAAUAAGUACAACACAAUUCUCCGAAAGUUCGGGUAUAAAGAGAUGCUACUCUAUCAAGCUAUCUAUCAGGCAUCUCUCAAGCUCUAAGCUCUGCUUUUUUUUUUUUUUUUUUUUUUCUCUAAGAGAAGAUGUAUAAUUACAGGAAAGAUUUUUUAUUUUUUUAUUUUCUAUCAUUCUACAUAUAUGAUGGCAAAAGAUAUGCCUGGAAAAGUUUUGUUUGGAAAAUUUUAUUUUCUGCUUCAUCCUCAGUUGGCAAAAGCUCCUAACUCUUUAAUUUCAAACUUUUUCUUUCUCCUUUUUCUUUGUCAGGUAAAUAAAGGUAUGUAAGCAAAUUAUGUUAUGUAGGAGGGAGACUCUCCUGUUUAGAGGAACCUUUGAUGUGAACUGUUUGUCAAACAACCCCUUCCCUAUUUAAGGAGUUUGGAUUGUCAAAUGUAGUUUUUCUUGAAGGGGACACAUAACUACAUAAUGCUGUAAAGAACUAUGAUUAUGGCCGUAAUCAGCAAGCUUAAAGCCACAAGUUAUAUCAUUUCUAACUCUGUGGUUUCUAGCCAAACCCAAUGAAGUGCUUAGGUUACAGUCCUGAAGAGACCCUUCAUACCCUUACUUGAAAGUCUCUAACCUUAAGUUUUAUUAAAUGCAAUAAUAUGUAUUAACUAGCAAUAUUUGUGUGAUCACCAGCAACUCUGAAUUUGACUUUGAAGUCUCUGGAUAAGGAAAAUAGAGCCCAGCAGUAAUACACAUCUUGAACCCCCUGCCCCCACCAACUGUAUUGUAUAUCUUGCCAUUUUGGUCCUGUGUUUGCAAGAAAUGUAUACAGGAAUAUUUUAAUUCCUUAACUUACUUUGUAUUCAUUUUAUUUUUCUGUGACCAGUGAUAAGUCUGUUAGUUAGCACAUGGAAUGAAUAGCAUCAACUACUCCUAGGAUCAGCAUUUAACACGGUGGGAAAUUUUUAUUCCAAGUUGUUCUACAUUUGCAUAAAUUAUUUCUAUUAUUGUUCAUGUAUAUUAUUUAUUUCUCAAUCACAUUAGUCCUGUGAAAGUACAACAGAAGGCAGACCGCAUUAGGAUUUGCAUUUAAUGCUCAUUAUCAUGGUCUUGAUGGAACUAAGAAAAUUAAAAUUAAGACUAAGCCCCCAAGUAAGCUGCAUGCAUUUUAACAUGAUUAGUAGAAUUUAAGUCUAUAGAGAUAGUAUUUUUUGUGUCUAGGUGUUUUAUAAGUAUGUAAAGGAAUUAAAGCAAAGAACUUUGUAGUUGUUCUCUUGUCAAGUAUGCAUAUAUUAUGGUGUGAAAUACAGCAAAAAUUAAAACUGCAGAUAGCAAAGCAUCGAAUAAGGCCUUCAGUUAGGAACUCUGCCAGGUGGUCAUCAUAAUAGAUGGCAGGUAGAGACAGAUGCCUGGUUGGCACUUCCGCUUAGCUGCCCAAGAGAAGAAGCCCAUCCCCCACACACACACUCAAUCUGUGCCCUCAUAGCUGUUGGGUACAGUAGGGGGAGCAGGUAGCCCUGUUGAAAAGAGACCAGUGUGUGAGUUUUCUGUAGAAGCAGAACUGCCAGCCUGUGCCAUGAGGCUUCCAGGACGUGCCAGAUGGGAGAAGUCCAAGGUUCCGUGCUUCAAGCAAGGUGGUUUUGUAGAGAAGCACUGCAGUCUGGUCAUUAAAACAAAGAAGGGCUGCGGGUACAUUGUCAGCAAUGGAAUUUUAACCACCAACAGUCCCUAACACCUCAAAAGCUUGUUGCAUGUCUGCUAUUUUAAGUUUUGACCUGAAGGUUACAAGGCAAGUGUUUUGUAUAGAAGAGCAGUAUGUGUUAAGAAAAGCACAAUGUCGGUUCCUGUAGAGUGCCGAGUAGGACUAGAGGAUUUUAUAGGCUUAUCAUUUCUAAGAUGUGUAAA